GAUGAACGCUGGCGGCGUGCCUAAUACAUGCAAGUCGAGCGAACGGACGAGAGGCUUGCUUCUCUGAUGUUAGCGGCGGACGGGUGAGUAACACGUGGAUAACCUACCUAUAAGACUGGGAUAACUUCGGGAAACCGGAGCUAAUACCGGAUAAUAUUUUGAACCGCAUGGUUCAAAAGUGAAAGACGGUCUUGCUGUCACUUAUAGAUGGAUCCGCGCUGCAUUAGCUAGUUGGUAAGGUAACGGCUUACCAAGGCAACGAUGCAUAGCCGACCUGAGAGGGUGAUCGGCCACACUGGAACUGAGACACGGUCCAGACUCCUACGGGAGGCAGCAGUAGGGAAUCUUCCGCAAUGGGCGAAAGCCUGACGGAGCAACGCCGCGUGAGUGAUGAAGGUCUUCGGAUCGUAAAACUCUGUUAUUAGGGAAGAACAUAUGUGUAAGUAACUGUGCACAUCUUGACGUUACCUAAUCAGAAAGCCACGGCUAACUACGUG
Molecule: ribosomal RNA, 497 nt
Filed under: uncultured bacterium
Lineage: Bacteria
Description: partial 16S ribosomal RNA
Rfam family: Bacterial small subunit ribosomal RNA
Source: RNAcentral